Brassica napus (rape) is the source of this 3575-nucleotide long non-coding RNA. RefSeq lists it as uncharacterized. The record is from RefSeq and is a predicted model, not a curated record. NCBI's taxonomy places the organism in Eukaryota, Viridiplantae, Streptophyta, Magnoliopsida, Brassicales, Brassicaceae. The transcript has 2 exons.
GGUGAGGCACGAGCUUGAGUUUCCGGUGAGGUACGAGCUUUAAUUUUUGCGAGUUACUUAAGAACGAGACUUGAAGUGCGCACGACUGAGACUUCGAUUAAGAAGAAGAAGAACACCGGCAGGGUCCUAGCGGAAAGAAGGAACACCGGCGGAGUCUUAGCGGGAAGAAGGAACACCGGCGACGGCGACCUCUGACAAACCAGUGACUUCGAAUCGUCUUUUCUCUCUCUCUUUUUUUAAGGAGGAGGUGAAAAAGGAUGUGUAAUUAGGGUUCCAUACACACGAUUUGGGGAUAAAACAGUUUUGCCGCUUUUGUUUUUUUUUUUUAACUUUUAAAUUUUAAAAUAAUUAAAUUAACAUAAAUCAUUUUGGAUUUAGAUUAGGGGUUUAAUUAGAUUUACAGAAAAAAAUUAUGCUAAGUGGACAACUUAUACUUCAUUUUAUGGCAUAGGGACAAUGUACAUAUAUUAUUUUGUUCUAUAUUUCCAAUUUUCCCUUUUAUCCUUGUAACCAAUUAUUCACCGUGGUUGGACUUUUGACAAUUUCUUUUAGGAUGAGCCAAAAAAGACAAAGCGUGGACAAUAAACCUAAAAUGGAUUUUUCUCAGCAUUAUAAAUUUCUUCUUUUUUCGGUUUCUCAAGGUUUUGUAUUUUUGCUUAUAUUUUAAUGAGAACUGUUCUACCUACCGUAUGUUUAGAUAAGCACAUGAAAUGGAAGAAGGAAAAAGAAAUGGAGGACUUCGGAAAUGCAUGAAACCAUAUAUAUGUUUCUUCCGGUUUUGAUAUUUUUUUGGCUUUCAUCUUUUAAUGAUCUGUAGUGGAUUAUAUCUUUAGUUUUGACAUGCACUUUGAUAGUACAAACAGGAAAAUGAUAAUAUAGAGACUGAAUAAGCUUUAAUACAGUUGAGAAUAAAGAAAAUUAACAUUGCUCAAAUUCUCGAAAAAAUUGGGAGCUUCAUACAGACCCAAGUUGUUAUGCUACUUUUCCUGCAUUUGCUCAUAGUUUAGGAAGCAUUACAAUAUGCCUAUCAAGUCUAAGUUCUUCAUCAGUUAUGCUUUUUCUGUCGGUUUCUAACUUGCUAUAAUCAGGAAAAAAUAUAGCUCAAGGAACUCAGUAACCAAUUCAAACAACGCUUGAUCAUGUGAGAUUGAGAAUAACUAGAACCUAUCCUGUUUAUGUGUUUACUAUACACUGAAAAGUUUAUACACUCAUACGAAUAUAAUGUUUCACACAUGAUGCAGAUUGACAAGAACAUAUUUGGCAUGAGGAGAUCAGGAGUUGUGUGUUUGGUCAUUUUCUAUAAUCACAGAUAUGCAGCACAUCAAGAGCUACAUGUCACAACUAUACACAGAAAAAUAAUUCACAAAAUAAAUGAGGCACUGAGGUAUAUGGGUAAUCAGAAGAAAUCUUUUUUUUUUUUGGGUCAAAUCAGAAGAAAUCUUUUAUGUAAUCUGAUUUCCAGCUUAGAGAUUUUUCUUAAAUUUAAGCUUCUUAUAAACCAAACUAAUUCUAACCUUUAAAAUUAAAUUAGUUCAUAUAUAUUAAACCAUUGACGCAAUUUAAUCCUAAAAAUCCCUAUUUGUUCGCUUCCAAAUCAAAAUUUGGGAAAGCAUUAUAUGCAAUGUAUCAAAAAAUAGGAAACAAUAUUGACCAUUAUAUUUGACCAUAAACUUAAGCGGAUCAAAUUGAUUAAAUUGACUAAUUAUUUUUAUGUCAACAUUUAUGAUGAUUUCUUAAUCAAAAAGUCUUGGUGCUUAAUUUAAGGGAUUGCAUGUAACUUAAAAUAGACUUCCUUUUUGAACGUAUUGGACAAUCAGUCAAGAUUUCGUUUACAAUAUAAAUCUUAUAGUCCCAGAUGACAUGUUCUUUAUACGACAUAUAACUCCCAACUUAGUGAGUCACGUAUCAAAUAAAACGAAAAAGGAGUAUGUUAUUAUUAAAUUAUGAAAGUCUAGAUAUUAAUAUAUAUUGAUAUGUGUUUCAUAUACGUGCCAUAAUUAAGUUGACACUAUAUAAAAGUAGUAAAACAAAGACACGACACAUUAUCCACAUUCACCAGAACACCUAUUUUGUGGACAGUAGGAAGAUCUACAUAAUAUAAUUUUCAAUCUUUAGGUAUUAAAAAUAAUAUAAUUAUUUGUAAAACUAUUUUUUUGUAGACAGUGAACCAUAUCAACUAUAUAAUAUAAUUAUUUUGUAUAUAGUUAUAAAGAUAAUAUAAUUAUUUUUUGACAAACAGUAUGACCAUAUCAACUAUAUACUAUAAUUAUUUUGUAUAUAUUUAUAUAACUAUAUAAUUUAGUUUAUAUAUGUGCGGUUUAUGUAGACAUUGUAAACACGUUUUAGAAACAUAACCAUGAUAAAGAAUCGUUGAUGCAUCUAACGAUUACAAAUGUCUACUAAGGUUGGUAAUACAUGUAAUUAUGCUAAAAUAGGGCUUUUAAUUAAAACUUAAAAGUUAAAAGUGUGAGAAAAGCUCUUGUGAUGACACAUAGGAAAUGAAAUUUUGGUUAAUAACACAUGAGAAUAAAGUUAGUUUAUGGAAAUUCUUCUCUUUUAAUAAAAAGCGAAUGUAGAUAAAAUUGGCUUAUUGGAGGGAUUUGAGAGUUUAUCAAAUUUUCAUAUUAUAUUUAGAAUUUAUAAAAAUGAUAUAAAAUUCAAGUUUAUUGAUUUAAUCAUUUAUAUAGAUUUUCAAAAUAUCACCUCUUAUGGUAGUAUAUAAAUUUUAAAUAGACUAUUCAAUUCUUUCUACUUGAUCACCAAAUAAAUUACUGAAAGAAGAAAAUACAAAUAAUACAUGGAAUUAAUUGUUAAGUUAUUAUAUAUUUGAUAAAAUAAUAUAUAUAUAUAUAAUAUUUUAAAGGAUAAAAUAUUAUUUAAAUAAUCUUAAUGUUAAAAUGUAACUUCAAAUGACUUUAAAGUUUAGAACAGUAAUUUUGCAAAACGACUCAAUUCUCAUAUUUCAUUGAAUUUAUUAUCUAUUCAAAUUCUAACUCCCUGGUCCAAAUCAUUAAUGCUAAGUUCUCAUAUUCAGAUCUCCUUUUGUUAUUAACUGCAUAUAUGUUACCAAAUUUAGGUAAACUAGUUACAUAAUGCAUAUGCAAAAAGUCGUUAUGUAAGAAAAUCGGUCAAAGCAAUAAAAGUAAUAAAGACCAUAUCUUUUUGAACAUAAUUAAGACCAUAUUUUUUCUUAUGUGUAUAUAUAUUCAGUACAUUUUUCUUAAUCAUAUAUGCACAUAAGAAAAAGUUUAAGAAAUAUGAAUAUGAAGAAAUGCAUUUUAUUGAUGAUGAUGGUAUCAAUAAUAAUUUUGACCAUGGAAAGAAAAGUAGAAGGCACUGCAUGCAUGACCAAAUGUUUGUUCUUGUGCGGACUUUUCUUUCAACAUCCAGUAGCAUGCGAAGACAAAUGUGAGCUCAAAUGCCAUCCACCUCUUUCAUCUCAAUCAUCACAGAUGGAGACUAUGGGAAUGAGAAACAUAAGAGGAUAAAUAUAUCAAGCAAAUAAUUAUGAUAUUUGUUAGAACGUUUUUUAUUUACGCUCGCUAUGUUCCUAACUCUAUACACAUAUGAAUGUU